UACGUAGGUGGCAAGCGUUGUCCGGAUUUACUGGGCGUAAAGAGCGCGCAGGCGGUCGUGCAAGUCGCGUGUGAAAGCCCCCGGCUCAACUGGGGAGGGUCACGCGAUACUGCUCGACUCGAAGGCAGGAGAGGGAAGUGGAAUUCCCGGUGUAGUGGUGAAAUGCGUAGAUAUCGGGAGGAACACCAGUGGCGAAGGCGGCUUCCUGGACAAUUGCUGACGCUCAGGCACGAAAGCGUGGGGAGCAAAAGGG
This 253-nucleotide ribosomal RNA is filed under the name uncultured bacterium. RNAcentral describes it as "partial 16S ribosomal RNA". It matches the Rfam family "Bacterial small subunit ribosomal RNA", at positions 524 to 776 of the family's 1533-position model. The record is from RNAcentral.